UACGUAGGGGGCAAGCGUUGUCCGGAAUCAUUGGGCGUAAAGAGCUCGUAGGUGGUUCGGUUAGUCGGAUGUGAAAUCUCCAGGCUCAACCUGGAGGGGUCAUUCGAUACUGCCGUGACUAGAGUUCGGUAGAGGAGUGUGGAAUUCCUGGUGGAGCGGUGAAAUGCGCAGAGAUCAGGAGGAACACCCGUAGCGAAGGCGGCACUCUGGGCCGAUACUGACACUGAGGAGCGAAAGCGUGGGGAGCGAACAGG
RNAcentral lists this ribosomal RNA (254 nucleotides) under uncultured bacterium. RNAcentral's name for it is "partial 16S ribosomal RNA". It matches the Rfam family "Bacterial small subunit ribosomal RNA", at positions 524 to 776 of the family's 1533-position model. The record is from RNAcentral.